This 325-nucleotide ribosomal RNA is filed under the name uncultured eukaryote. RNAcentral's name for it is "partial 18S ribosomal RNA". It matches the Rfam family "Eukaryotic small subunit ribosomal RNA", at positions 1470 to 1796 of the family's 1831-position model. The record is from RNAcentral.
CCCUUAGAUGUUCUGGGCCGCACGCGCGCUACACUGGUGUAUUCAACGAGUUUAUAACCUUGGUCGUAAGGCCUGGGUAAUCUUCUGAAUGUACACCGUGAUUGGGCUAGAUUGUUGCAAUUUUCAAUCUCAAACGAGGAAUGCCUAGUAAACGCAAGUCAUCAACUUGCAUUGAUUACGUCCCUGCCCUUUGUACACACCGCCCGUCGCACCUACCGAUUGAAUGAUUCGGUGAAACUUUCGGAUUUCGACCUAGUUCCGUCAGGAGCCUGGACGAGAGAAGUUAUUUGAACCUCAUCAUUUAGAGGAAGGUGAANUCGUAACA